RNAcentral lists this ribosomal RNA (500 nucleotides) under uncultured bacterium. RNAcentral describes it as "partial 16S ribosomal RNA". It matches the Rfam family "Bacterial small subunit ribosomal RNA", at positions 30 to 523 of the family's 1533-position model. The record is from RNAcentral.
AUUGAACGCUGGCGGCAUGCCUUACACAUGCAAGUCGAACGGCAGCACGGGAGCAAUCCUGGUGGCGAGUGGCGAACGGGUGAGUAAAGUAUCGGAACGUGCCCAGUCGUGGGGGAUAACGUAGCGAAAGUUACGCUAAUACCGCAUACGAUCUAUGGAUGAAAGCGGGGGGUCGCAAGACCUCGCGCGAUUGGAGCGGCCGAUAUCAGAUUAGGUAGUUGGUGGGGUAAAGGCUCACCAAGCCGACGAUCUGUAGCUGGCCUGAGAGGACGACCCGCCACACUGGGACUGAGACACGGCCCAGACUCCUACGGGAGGCAGCAGUGGGGAAUUUUGGACAAUGGGCGAAAGCCUGAUCCAGCCAUGCCGCGUGCAGGAUGAAGGCCUUCGGGUUGUAAACUGCUUUUGUACGGAACGAAAAGGUUUGGCCUAAUAAGCUGAGCUCAUGACGGUACCGUAAGAAUAAGCACCGGCUAACUACGUGCCAGCCGCCGCUGUAA